UUCGCCUUCAUGAAGCCGGAAUUGCUAGUAAUGGCAGGUCAGCAUACUGCCGUGAAUACGUUCCCGGGCCUUGUACACACCGCCCGUCACACCAUGAGAGUUGGGAAUACCCGAAGCCUGUGAGCUAACAUUAUGAGGCAGCAGUCGAAGGUAGAAUCAAUGAUUGGGGUGAAGUCGUAACAAGGUACC
Molecule: ribosomal RNA, 189 nt
Filed under: uncultured bacterium
Lineage: Bacteria
Description: partial 16S ribosomal RNA
Rfam family: Bacterial small subunit ribosomal RNA
Source: RNAcentral